RNAcentral lists this long non-coding RNA (2952 nucleotides) under Homo sapiens (human). Its description in RNAcentral is "non-protein coding LINC01315:9". The record is from RNAcentral. Lineage: Eukaryota; Metazoa; Chordata; Mammalia; Primates; Hominidae.
AGAGCCCCGUGGCCAGCGGCCGGCCGCGGGGCCUUUUUGUCCUGAGGGCCAGAGAAAGGGAGAAGGGGGUGGGGGGACAGCCACGUGGCCGCAGGAGGAUUUACAACAUUUUCUUUCGCCAUCGAUGUUAUCGCAAAAUGUGUGAGAGAAGCGGCUGCGCAGCCCGGACGGGAGCGUGAGGGUGCGGGCCAGGUAAGCAGCCCCGGCGGUUUCGCCGCAUACGGGACUGCGGGGCGACCGCGGGCACCAGCCACGCGCAGCGGCUCCGCGGGGUCUCGGCCGGGUCCGCGCUCUGAAGGAUCUCGAGAGCCAUGGAUGGUGCAGGCGGGACCCUCGAGCUGCAGCAUCUCCGGUGACCCGGGGUUGCCGAGGAGGUGGAGACCAGCACAGGUGGUCCGGCCCGGGCGCCUCCGAAUCCGGGGGUGGUCAAGACGGAUCCCCAAGGCUGAGGUCGGCAGUCCCGGGGACUCGCAGCUGUUGAGCCUGUGGAGACGCGGCCCCGUGACCGAGGCACCCUUCAGCAACCCGGGGGCAGCGUUUUCCCCCUACCGGAAAUCUGAUGGGCUUAUGACAUCAUGGCUGGCUGCUGAGCGAUGAAGUGGAUGCCACAAAGAAAUCCGACAUAUCAGAUAGAUUCUGAAAUCGGUUUCCCUCCAGCUGUAGUAACAGGCGUGAAGUCAGGAGAAUUUGAGCUUUGUUUAAAAAAUAAAUAAAUAAAUAAAUAAACCAUAACAAAGUCUUGCCCUGUAUUAAAUGCAAUUUUCUUAAAAACAAGCAAACCUUUUGGACAUCAUUUUAUUUUAAUAGAAAUGCUGAGUUUUAUGAAACUAAAGUGGCUAAUAAAUCAGACCUGAAGCUUUGUGUGAGUGUUCCAUUUCUGUUGAGUGUUUGUGUCCUUAUUCACUAAUAAAAGAGGAGCUAGGAAUGGUUUAUCUCUCUUCAUUAUUCAAAUGAGAUAGCCUUUUUUUUUUUUUUAGGCCAAUAAAAUUCACAGGGUAAAUUGCUGGUUUAUGUUUUUCCAGGAAUCCAUUUUUAUGGAGCGACCCUGGACCUCACCGGUCUGCAGACACUAUAUUCCCCUUUGCUGGUUUUCCUGGCUGUGAAGCCCUUAAGAGAAUGCAGUAAAGCUUUUCAGUCUCCUGGCUGGGCUCAGGGGAUAACUGGCUGUCAGCAGGGCGGGACCAAGACCAGUGGGCCAGGCGCUUCUUGGAAUGAGAAGCCUCUUUGAAAGGAGAGAGUCAAGAGAGGAACAGAAGUAAAGGGACCUGGGGCUGGGCGCGGUGGCUCAUGCCUAUAGUCCCAGCAAUUUGGGAGGCCAAGAGGGCAGAUCACCUGAGGUCAGGAGUUCAAGACCAGCCUGGCCAACAUGGCGAAACCCCAUCUCUACUAAAAAUACAAAAAAUUAGCCAGGAGUGGUGGUGCACGCCUGUAACCCCAGCUACUUGGGAGGCUGAGAUAGGAGAACUGCUUGAACACGGGAGGCAGAGGUUCCAGUGAGCCGAGAUCGCGCCACUGCACUCCAGCCUGGGUGACAGAGCAAGACUCCAUCUCAAAAAAAAAAAAAAAAAGAAGAAGAAGAAGAAGAAAAAGUAAAGGGACCUGGGACAUGAAGCCUAGGGGCCUGGGAGGGGGAAUCCAUUUUCUUCCUCCUCAAAAGACAGCAAGGACCUCAGAAAUAACUCCAGGCUGAGGGGGCCUCAGUAUUCACCUCGGAAAUAGGCUUGGGUGCAAGAUUGCAUGUGUCGUGCCUGCCAAGCACCCAGCACAGGGACGUCCCAGACCUGGGCUGAGGUCCCAGCUGCUCCAGAAGCAAACUUCGGGGCCCUGAGCAAGUCACACCACCUUUCAGCUUCUUUCCCUGAAAGUGGACACAAUGGCCCCCACCCUGCCUGUUGGGAGAACAGUAGUGCUGGAUGUGUCACACAAUGCCCAGCUCUGAGGGCAUCCGAGGCUCUGAGGGCACCUCAAAGGGCUCCGAGGCCAUUCUCAUAGCUGGGAGAGGCCAGUGUGGAUUCUGGAGUUGAAUCCCCAGCCUGGGCUUGACUCCUGGCUCUGUCCCCUGCUAUCUGCAAGACGACAUUGAUCUGUGUGACAUUCGCUGUGCCUUGGUGUCCUCACUUGUCAAACAAUAAUAAUAAUAGGACCGGCCUCACACAUGAGGCUGCUGUGAGGAUGAACGGCCUCAGAAGGCCUGGACUGACCAAGCAUUAGCCGCAUGAGUGUGUCCUGGGCCCAGGAGGCAGGUUGCUGGCUAGGACCCUCCGGCCUAGGAUGGGAGGGAGUGUACCAAGUCGAGCACAGGCGGAGGCUAAUCAAGGACUGACAGGAACAUCUACUCCUUUCUCUGCAGAACUUCCCAUGACUCCAAUCGCCCAAAGGGAAUAAAAUCCCCUCGUUUUCUGGGCCCCAGGCUCCUGUCCCCCAGGCCUCCUGUGCUGUUCCCCUCUCCCUCCCUGUGCUCUGUCCCUCCUCCCAGGCAGCUUUGGAUGCAAUGCUAACAGGCAGGUGAUGUUUACUGAGCACCUGCCAUCAUGUUGUUCGCCACAGUUUCCAUGGAUUAAUUCAUUUGAUCCCCACACAAACCCAUGAAAGGGGACAGUUAGCAUUCCUGUCAGCAAUGGAGACCUCAGAGGUUAAGUGUCUUGCUCACAGUCCCAGAGCCCAAAUUGAAACCAGGGUUCGGCUCCUGCACCGUCCACUUCACCUCGGCUCCACUGGGCCUUCCUCCUCCACUUUCUCGCCUUCCCACAACACCCAUCUCCACCUGCCAAGAUUUCCACCACCUCGCCCAAGAGGUCUUCCCAGCUUCCCCUCCACAGUGCCACCCAAGAAAUGCUGGUGGUGCCCCACGUGCCCCUCAGGGUGUGGCUCUCUAUGAUUGGCCCUGGGCCCCUUGUCUGCCUCUCCUGGAGGCUGGGAGCUGGGCUGUGGCCAGUAAUGUGUCCCCUGCAG